RNAcentral lists this ribosomal RNA (468 nucleotides) under uncultured bacterium. RNAcentral's name for it is "partial 16S ribosomal RNA". It matches the Rfam family "Bacterial small subunit ribosomal RNA", at positions 28 to 507 of the family's 1533-position model. The record is from RNAcentral.
GACGAACGCUGGCGGCGUGCUUAACACAUGCAAGUCGAACGGAAAGGCCCUGCUUUUGUGGGGUGCUCGAGUGGCGAACGGGUGAGUAACACGUGAGUAACCUGUCCUUGACUUUGGGAUAACUUCGGGAAACUGGGGCUAAUACCGGAUAGGAGCUCCUGCUGCAUGGUGGGGGUUGGAAAGUUUCGGCGGUUGGGGAUGGACUCGCGGCUUAUCAGCUUGUUGGUGGGGUAGUGGCUUACCAAGGCUUUGACGGGUAGCCGGCCUGAGAGGGUGACCGGCCACAUUGGGACUGAGAUACGGCCCAGACUCCUACGGGAGGCAGCAGUGGGGAAUAUUGCACAAUGGGCGGAAGCCUGAUGCAGCAACGCCGCGUGCGGGAUGACGGCCUUCGGGUUGUAAACCGCUUUCGCCUGUGACGAAGCGUGAGUGACGGUAAUGGGUAAAGAAGCACCGGCUAACUACGUG